AUGACGCCUGGGCGUCCAGUUUUCCGGAUCAUCUCGUCGAAAAAGUUCAUUCGCUCGUGUCCAGUGAGCCACCAUCGGAAGCCGGGAGCAUUACGUCGAACACCUUGCGGCCAUGGCGUCCAGGCGAGAGCCGGCAGAUGCCCCGACCCGUGCACACGCCGAGUGCGGAGUGCCGAAGAACGGAAAGGUGGAGAGGCGGAUCCACCGCCGGCCCCCAAGCCAUCAACUCCGAUGACCCCUGCACAGCGAGGCUUCACACAGAUGGCCGCUGAGACGAUCCCACAGACUGCCGGACAGGAAGGCGACUGUUGCGUCCAUGGAUCACCACGAUCUGCUCCAGAUUGGUCAGUAUAUUACCUCCCCUCCCUCCCAGCCCACCCCACCCCAAACACACACAGUGCCACACGGAUCAAGGGUUUGAACCUCUUGGCAUGCCUCCUCGCUAGGCAGCCCCUAACGCUGCUACACUUGUAUAGGUCUCGGCCGGUGGCUACCAAUGAUACAUAUGUAUCAACUAUGGAAGGAAGCGUUGAUUGGUCCCAGAUUGAGAUAGCACCAAUGAAUGAUGAAGAAAUUGAUGUUCCUAUAACAGAAGAGAACAUGUGCUCGGUGCUUGGCAUCAAUGACGAACCUGAGCAUCGGAAAAUUGUAUCUAAAGAAGCUAUGAAAGCCUCCAUUGCAGAUGUUGAUGCAUGUGUGGCUGAUAUUGAUGAGGAUUUACUUGCUGAUGCGGCUCUUCCUGUGCCUGACCAUAUGCCUGAAGAGGAUCACUUUUGGUAUGAUAAGGAACAUCCUAUGAUAGAGGAAGGAUCUUUGUUUCGUUCAAUGAAGGAGUUUAGGAUGCUCAUGAGAACAUUUGCUAUCAGAGGCAAGUUUGACAUCAAGAUCAAGGAUAGUGACACUACUAGAUUUUUGGGUCACUGUAAAGGAAAUGCAUGUCCUUGGAGAAUAACUGCUAGGACAAUAGAAGAUGGAAAAACAGUCAGGGUAAACAAGAUAGUAAAGCUUCAUAAGUGUUCAUCAACCGCUGCAGUGAUUACAAGCAUGGCAGACCAAGCAUGGGUGGCAGAAAAGGCCAUGGGGUAUCUUCAAACUGAACCAAACAUUGGUGCCAGUGAGCUCCGAAAAAAGCUACAGGCCGAGUACAAAUGUACUAUUGGUGAUGUGUCUGCUCACGAGCUCGCUCCAGUUGUUGUUGCGACACCUACACGCACAACAACAAUCACACUGCCUCCCAGCCUUCAUAACAACCCUGGGCCUAUCACAAGGAGGAGGCUUGCUAUGGCCAUAGCUGGAGACGAUGCAUCACGGCCAUCUGGGACAAGUACUGUUAAUUCUACAGCAUCACCUACUUCUCACUUCCCUUCACGCUCUACGGCAUGCAAGAAAAAACUGACCCCAAAGAGGAAGAAGCUCUAA
This 1419-nucleotide ribosomal RNA is filed under the name Triticum aestivum (bread wheat). Its description in RNAcentral is "partial small subunit ribosomal RNA". The record is from RNAcentral. Lineage: Eukaryota; Viridiplantae; Streptophyta; Magnoliopsida; Poales; Poaceae.